RNAcentral lists this long non-coding RNA (206 nucleotides) under Ananas comosus (pineapple). Its description in RNAcentral is "long non-coding RNA (ACOM_LNC034104)". The record is from RNAcentral. Lineage: Eukaryota; Viridiplantae; Streptophyta; Magnoliopsida; Poales; Bromeliaceae.
AGGUGGGUACUUCGACCCGACGUCGGUACUUCGACCCGACGUCGGUACAGUGGUGCACGCUCGGUGACGUUCCUUCCACCCUUCCUAUUUACAUUGCUUAUCAUAUACUUUGCUUAUCAUAUUAUCCUCGUAUUACUCUACUCGGUUGUUUCCAUGCUCGGUAUCUUGUGUAGGAGUAGAGUAGAUUUCUUCAGCAUAUGAUAUCU